AACGAACGCUGGCGGCAGGCCACAUACAUGCAAGUCUAACGGGUGUAGCAAUACAUCAGUGGCGCACGGGUGAGUAACGCGUGGGAAUAUGCCCUUGACUACGGAACAACCGCGGGAAACUGAGGCUAAUACCGUAUAAUGUCUCCGGACCAAAGAUUUAUCGGUCAAGGAUUAGCCCGCGUCUGAUUAGGUAGUUGGUGAGGUAACGGCUCACCAAGCCUACGAUCAGUAGCUGGUCUGAGAGGAUGAUCAGCCACACUGGGACUGAGACACGGCCCAGACUCCUACGGGAGGCAGCAGUAAGGAAUAUUGGACAAUGGGGGAAACCCUGAUCCAGCCAUGCCGCGUGAGUGAAGAAGGCCUUCGGGUUGUAAAGCUCUUUUACCCCUGACGAUAAUGACGGUAAGGGGAGAAAAAGCCACGGCUAACUUCGUGCCAGCAGCCGCAGUAA
Molecule: ribosomal RNA, 451 nt
Filed under: uncultured bacterium
Lineage: Bacteria
Description: partial 16S ribosomal RNA
Rfam family: Bacterial small subunit ribosomal RNA
Source: RNAcentral